RNAcentral lists this ribosomal RNA (690 nucleotides) under uncultured bacterium. RNAcentral describes it as "bacterial SSU rRNA". It matches the Rfam family "Bacterial small subunit ribosomal RNA", at positions 123 to 813 of the family's 1533-position model. The record is from RNAcentral.
AACCUACCCUGUACUGGGGAAUAACUCGAAGAAAUUCGGACUAAUACCCCAUAGUGUAAUUGAUAGGCAUCUAUUGAUUAUUAAAGGUUACGGUACGGGAUGGGCAUGCGUUCCAUUAGCUAGUUGGUAUGGUAACGGCAUACCAAGGCUACGAUGGAUAGGGGGCCUGAGAGGGUGAUCCCCCACACUGGAACUGAGACACGGUCCAGACUCCUACGGGAGGCAGCAGUGAGGAAUAUUGGUCAAUGGGCGCAAGCCUGAGCCAGCCAUGCCGCGUGCAGGAAGAAUGUCCUAUGGAUUGUAAACUGCUUUUAUUUAGGAAUAGACCUCUUUACGUGUAUAGAGCUGAAGGUACUAAAAGAAUAAGCACCGGCUAACUCCGUGCCAGCAGCCGCGGUAAUACGGAGGGUGCAAGCGUUAUCCGGAAUCAUUGGGUUUAAAGGGUCCGCAGGCGGAAAUGUAAGUCAGAGGUGAAAUCCGGCAGCUCAACUGUCGCAUUGCCUUUGAUACUGUGUUUCUUGAAUUUUAAUGGAGUGGGCGGAAUAUGUCAUGUAGCGGUGAAAUGCUUAGAUAUGACAUGGAACACCGAUAGCGAAGGCAGCUCACUAAUUAUGAAUUGACGCUCAUGGACGAAAGCGUGGGUAGCAAACAGGAUUAGAUACCCUGGUAGUCCACGCCGUAAACGAUGAU